GACGAACCGUGCAAACGUUGUUCGGAUUCACUGGGCUUAAAGGGCGCGUAGGCGGGCGGUCGAGUCCGGGGUGAAAUCUUUCAGCUCAACUGGAAAAGUGCCUUGGAUACCGGCCGUCUCGAGGGAGGUAGGGGCAUGCGGAACUUCCGGUGGAGCGGUGAAAUGCGUAGAUAUCGGAAGGAACGCCGGUGGCGAAAGCGGCGACCUGGUCCUUGACUGACGCUGAGGCGCGAAAGCGUGGGGAGCAAACAGG
Molecule: ribosomal RNA, 253 nt
Filed under: uncultured bacterium
Lineage: Bacteria
Description: partial 16S ribosomal RNA
Rfam family: Bacterial small subunit ribosomal RNA
Source: RNAcentral